RNAcentral lists this ribosomal RNA (465 nucleotides) under uncultured bacterium. RNAcentral's name for it is "partial 16S ribosomal RNA". It matches the Rfam family "Bacterial small subunit ribosomal RNA", at positions 338 to 795 of the family's 1533-position model. The record is from RNAcentral.
CCUACGGGCGGCAGCAGUGGGGAAUAUUGCGCAAUGGGCGAAAGCCUGACGCAGCGACGCCGCGUGCGGGAUGAAGGUCUUCGGAUCGUAAACCUCUGUCAGCAGGGAAGAACGGUCACUGUGCUAAUCAGCAGUGAAUUGACGGUACCUGCAAGGGAAGCACCGGCUAACUCCGUGCCAGCAGCCGCGGUAAAGCGGAGGAUGCGAGCGUUAAUCGGAAUUGCUGGGCGUAAAGCGCUCGUAGGCGGUAUGUCAAGUCAAGGGUGAAAUCCCCGGGCUCAACGUGGGAACUGCCUUUGAAACUGGCAAACUGGAGAGUGUGAGAGGAUAGUGGAAUUCCAGGUGUAGGAGUGAAAUCCGUAGAUAUCUGGAGGAACAUCAGUGGCGAAGGCGACUAUCUGGCACAUAACUGACGCUGAGGAGCGAAAGCGUGGGUAGCAAACAGGAUUAGAUACCCGAGUAGUC